Molecule: ribosomal RNA, 389 nt
Filed under: Choanoflagellata sp.
Lineage: Eukaryota; Choanoflagellata
Description: partial small subunit ribosomal RNA
Rfam family: Eukaryotic small subunit ribosomal RNA
Source: RNAcentral
AUUCCAGCUCCAAUAGCGUAUAUUAAAGUUGUUGCGGUUAAAAAGCUCGUAGUUGGAUUUCUGUUCUCGAGGAUCGGUCCGCCUCACGGUGAGCACUGGUUUUUCUUGGGGACAUCCUCUCGAAGGCGGGUGGUGCACUUAAUUGUGUGCUGCUUGGAUUCGGGACCUUUACUUUGAAAAAAUUAGAGUGUUCAAAGCAGGCGUCGGCUUGAAUACAUUAGCAUGGAAUAAUGGAAUAGGACUUUGGUUCUAUUUUGUUGGUUUCUAGGACCGAAGUAAUGAUUAAUAGGGACAGUUGGGGGCAUUAGUAUUUAAUUGUCAGAGGUGAAAUUCUUGGAUUUAUGAAAGACUAACUACUGCGAAAGCAUUUGCCAAGGAUGUUUUCAUUA